RNAcentral lists this ribosomal RNA (253 nucleotides) under uncultured bacterium. RNAcentral describes it as "partial 16S ribosomal RNA". It matches the Rfam family "Bacterial small subunit ribosomal RNA", at positions 524 to 776 of the family's 1533-position model. The record is from RNAcentral.
UACGUAGGGUGCGAGCGUUAAUCGGAAUUACUGGGCGUAAAGCGUGCGCAGGCGGUUUUGUAAGCCAGAUGUGAAAUCCCCGGGCUUAACCUGGGAAUGGCAUUUGGGACUGCAAGGCUUGAGUGCGGCAGAGGAGACUGGAAUUCCUGGUGUAGCAGUGGAAUGCGUAGAUAUCAGGAGGAACACCGAUGGCGAAGGCAGGUCUCUGGGCUGACACUGACGCUCAUGCACGAAAGCGUGGGGAGCAAACAGG